GCACCCAUAGCUCAGUUGGUAGAGCAGAUCCCUCUUAAGGAUAUGGUCCUAGGUUCAAGUCCUAGUGGGUGCA
Molecule: transfer RNA, 73 nt
Filed under: Candidatus Moranbacteria bacterium CG23_combo_of_CG06-09_8_20_14_all_39_10
Lineage: Bacteria; Candidatus Moraniibacteriota
Also listed under: 2 other names
Description: tRNA-Lys
Rfam family: tRNA
About the family: Transfer RNA (tRNA) molecules are approximately 80 nucleotides in length. Their secondary structure includes four short double-helical elements and three loops (D, anti-codon, and T loops).
Source: RNAcentral